AAAAGCUCAAGCCCCAAAUUGCAAUCCACCAGCCAUGGCCGCCGUGAUCAUGGCUUCCUCCAAACCCAUCAUUCCACUCUCUUCUUCUCUCCCCACCACCACAAGACCCAGACUUCAAAUCCCCCAACUCUCCCUCCCUAUUAAAAUCCUCCCUAAAAUCACUAAAACCCAACUCGCACGCCUCUCCUCUUCCACCCUCAAAUCCCUCUCCCUCCUUGCAGCCACCUCCUUCACCUUCGCACCGCCCUCUCUCGCCGAAGAAAUAGAGAAAGCUGCUCUCUUUGACUUCGACUUGACUCUCCCAAUCAUGAUGGUCCAGUUCUUGAUCCUCAUGGUAACACUCGACAAGCUCUACUUCUCUCCUCUUGGUAAAU
RNAcentral lists this long non-coding RNA (374 nucleotides) under Manihot esculenta (cassava). Its description in RNAcentral is "long non-coding RNA (MESC_LNC009949)". Lineage: Eukaryota; Viridiplantae; Streptophyta; Magnoliopsida; Malpighiales; Euphorbiaceae. The record is from RNAcentral.